AGCGAACGCUGGCGGAAUGCUUAACACAUGCAAGUCGCACGGGGGCUUCGGCUCGAGUGGCGGACGGGUGAGUAACGCGUAGGAACGUGUCUUGGGGUGGGGGAUAACGCGGGGAAACUGGUGCUAAUACCGCAUCUGGGCUGAGGCCCAAAGCCUUCGGGUGCCUUGUGAGCGGCCUGCGUCCGAUUAGCUAGUUGGUGGGGUAACUGCUUACCAAGGCGACGAUCGGUAGCUGGUCUGUGAGGACGAUCAGCCACACUGGGCACUGAGACACGGCCCAGACUCCUACGGGAGGCAGCAGUGGGGAAUAUUGGACAAUGGGCGGAAGCCUGAUCCAGCAAUUCCGCGUGGGUGAAGAAGGUCUUCGGAUUGUAAAGCCCUUUCGACAGAGACGAUGAUGACGGUACCUGUAGAAGAAGCCCCGGCUAACUUCGUGCCAGCCGCCGCAGUAA
Molecule: ribosomal RNA, 452 nt
Filed under: uncultured bacterium
Lineage: Bacteria
Description: partial 16S ribosomal RNA
Rfam family: Bacterial small subunit ribosomal RNA
Source: RNAcentral